This 254-nucleotide ribosomal RNA is filed under the name uncultured bacterium. Its description in RNAcentral is "partial 16S ribosomal RNA". It matches the Rfam family "Bacterial small subunit ribosomal RNA", at positions 524 to 776 of the family's 1533-position model. The record is from RNAcentral.
UACAGAGGUCUCAAGCGUUGUUCGGAUUCAUUGGGCGUAAAGAGCUCGUAGGCGGUUUGGUAAGUUGGAUGUGAAAUCUCCAGGCUCAACUUGGAGGGGUCAUUCGAUACUGCCAUGACUAGAGUUCGGUAGGGGAGUGUGGAAUUCCUGGUGGAGCGGUGAAAUGCGCAGAUAUCAGGAGGAACACCCGUAGCGAAGGCGGCACUCUGGGCCGGAACUGACGCUGAGGAGCGAAAGCGUGGGGAGCGAACAGG